GUAGUUGCGUUGAAAAGGACAUGGUUUUUUUGAUUUUCUGUUUUUAGAGAGGGAAGGGCGCUGAAAUCUUCCUAACAGGCCUUAAAACUUACCGCCUUGGAGCUGCGGCAGCGAAAUGUUAGUAGUUGCCUCCGUAUGUGCUGCGUUAAAGCAUCUUGAGCUGUUUUUGAUAGUUUUGAAAACAGGAAACUUAGGUGGAACCGCGAGCAAAACUCGUCCUUUGA
RNAcentral lists this non-coding RNA (224 nucleotides) under Listeria floridensis. Its description in RNAcentral is "T-box sequence". It matches the Rfam family "T-box leader". Rfam says of the family: Uncharged tRNA acts as the effector for transcription antitermination of genes in the T-box leader family. Lineage: Bacteria; Bacillati; Bacillota; Bacilli; Caryophanales; Listeriaceae. The record is from RNAcentral.